UCAUCCUGCCCUCCCAGGUGCUGGGGGCCCAGUCAGGAGGGGCUCAGGUCUGCAGAGGCCGUCUCUCACCCAGCCCCUGUUUCGUUCGGCGUUGCGGGCUCAGGCCGCUGCCUCUGUCACAGACCUGCACACAGAACCCCAGCUGGCUUUGAGAGGACUCCAGGUGUCUCCGCCGUGUCUACACCUGGUUUGUGUUAUCUACCCAGAACGCAAGAUUAUUUAAUUAGGAAAAGUUCCCCAAAGUUCCUUGACGGCUAUUGCUUCCUGUAUCAUUUUAUUCCACGUUGACUAUUACCAUCAGCGUACGGCAAUAUAUGUAGCACGCUCUCUCACGCACUAGUAACAACCUGGAUUAUUCAUCUUUUAAACUUUGAUCGCCGAAGGGAAACAAAGCCUCUCCUUUCUCCCUCAUCACUUGGAUCCGUGGCGCAGCGGGACAGCGCUCCCCGCUCUGUGCGCCAUCUUUAUUUCCUCCUCUGGGAAUUAUUUGUUCCAAGCAGGAGGCUCAGCAGUGAGUGGGGGCUGAAUGGAGACCUGCAUUCCAGGCCUGGUGUCCUAGGUGACGAGGCCUCCAGCCAGAGCAUUUCUCCUUCCUCACAGCCCAGAUGCCCUUGAAGCCAAGGUCACGUCCCUGAAUCUUCUGCCCAUCCUCGUUCCUCACCACUGGCUCCUGCGGGUGGUGCAGCGCCCACCUCCUUCUGUGCUCCUGCCCUGAAGCCUGUGUCCCUCCACACAGACAAGGCUAGAGCAUCUUCAGUGAAUCUAUCGCAGGCAACGUGACUGUUUCCUGAUGCCUAUGGUGUGGUCAAAUCCCUCCUUCCACCCCGGGCCUCUGGACUGGAAGGCUGUGGUCAUGCUGGUUCUUGCAGCCCUGAUCUCCCCUUGGGCUCCUGGUGCCACGUCGUGCCUGUCCAAGCCACUCAGCUUCAGGAGGAAGAGGUGUUUGCCCUGCUGGUUCCCUGCAAGAAUAUUCAGAGGCACUCUGCAGCCCACAGGGUAA
RNAcentral lists this long non-coding RNA (1000 nucleotides) under Cercocebus atys (sooty mangabey). RNAcentral describes it as "lncRNA (ENSCATG00000045880.1)". Lineage: Eukaryota; Metazoa; Chordata; Mammalia; Primates; Cercopithecidae. The record is from RNAcentral.